Molecule: ribosomal RNA, 301 nt
Filed under: uncultured bacterium
Lineage: Bacteria
Description: partial 16S ribosomal RNA
Rfam family: Bacterial small subunit ribosomal RNA
Source: RNAcentral
CAGUCGCCGCGGGAAUACGUAGGGUGCAAGCGUUAAUCGGAAUUACUGGGCGUAAAGCGCGCGUAGGCGGUUACUCAAGUCAGAGGUGAAAGCCCGGGGCUCAACCCCGGAACUGCCUUUGAAACUAGGUGACUAGAAUCUUGGAGAGGUCAGUGGAAUUCCGAGUGUAGAGGUGAAAUUCGUAGAUAUUCGGAAGAACACCAGUGGCGAAGGCGACUGACUGGACAAGUAUUGACGCUGAGGUGCGAAAGCGUGGGGAGCAAACAGGAUUAGAUACCCCAGUAGUCCCUGUCUCUUAUAC